Molecule: ribosomal RNA, 497 nt
Filed under: uncultured bacterium
Lineage: Bacteria
Description: partial 16S ribosomal RNA
Rfam family: Bacterial small subunit ribosomal RNA
Source: RNAcentral
GAUGAACGCUGGCGGCGUGCCUAAUACAUGCAAGUCGAGCGAACGGACGAGAAGCUUGCUUCUCUGAUGUUAGCGGAGGACGGGUGAGUAACACGUGGAUACCCUCCUUAUAAGACUGGGAUAACUUCGGGAAACCGUAGCUAAUACCGGAUAAUAUUUUGAACCGCAUGGUUCAAAAGUGAAAGACGGUCUUGCUGUCACUUAUAGAUGGAUCCGAGCUGCAUUAGCUGGUUGUUAAGGUCACGGCUUACCAAGGCAACGAUGCAUAGCCGACCUGAGAGAGUGGUCGGCCACACUGGAGCGUAGACACGGACCAUGCUCCUACGAUAGGCAGCAGUAGGGUAUCGUCCGCAGUGGGCGAAAGCCUGGCGGAGCGACGCCGCGUGUGUUAUGAAGGUCUUCGGAUCGUAAAACUGUGUUAUUAGGGAAAAACAUAUUUGUAAGGAACUGUGCACAGCUUGACGGUACCUAAUCAGAAAGCCACGGCUAACUACGUG